Molecule: long non-coding RNA, 5176 nt
Organism: Cygnus olor (mute swan)
Lineage: Eukaryota; Metazoa; Chordata; Aves; Anseriformes; Anatidae
Exons: 3
Source: RefSeq, a predicted model, not a curated record
CUCCUGUACAGGUAGGGUGUUAGUCCUGACAAGGAAACCUGGCGCUGAGGCCCCUGUGUUUCUGUCAGCCUUCCCCCCCUCAGAAGCGGAUCAGGGAAGUGGUGUGGUUCACACAGUGUUUCUGCAGCCUUGAGCUCCUGUUCAUGAGAGAAAAAUGCCUGCACCUGUGUGCAGAUGGUGAGGGGACAGCCUGACCCACUUCACCUGUGCUGUUUUCCCAGGCCUGGGGAGCCCAAGAGGAAGGUAGGCCCUGCCUCAUGUGAGGGUGGGUUUGAAGGGGAUAAAGUACAGCUGCCUGAACAUGGAGGUUCAAGUAUUUUGGUUUCCUGCUAGCUGAGAUCAAGGCUCGUUAGCUUGAAGCCAAGGAAAGGAACAAGAAGGAGCCUCCCGUGUUGCUGUGGGGAGGUAAAAGUUUAGAGCAAAAACUACCAAAGUCACCUAGGACUGAAGGAUGGCAGGUGUGGGUUCCAGCUCCUUCAGGCCCUGCUGAAGAUCUCAAUUCUGCUUUGUUCGGUUUUCAGUAUUUGCUUUAGCUAGUGGACUAGUGCAGAUGGGGUAUCUGGUGGCCAGAUUCUGCUAUCACUCAAGCUGGUGAACAGUCCCGUUACCAUUACUGCUUCCAGAAGAGCUUUUCUGAGUUCAGAGUUGCUGUUGUUCUGCAUGGUCUCGUUUCAUCUGGGAGACCAUCCCCACCAACACGCACAGAGCUGUUCCUCCCUUUCCUGUGUGCUUGUGCAAGUGGAAAUCAAGAGCACCAUGUCCAGGGAGCAGAGAUGUGCCUGCAAAAUUUGUUCAUGAAAUCUGAAGCCAUGGAGGAAUGCCGGGUUAAUUUUUCAUCUGGGUAUCAACUGAGAGUAAUGUAUACCCCAAAUUAAUGCAGACAAUGCCUAGUCUGGUCGGCAGGCUCUCUGUAUUUUUGAAUUCUUUUCUACUAAAACUCAAUAAAAACAUGGGGGUGGAAGGUGCUGCUGGGAAUUUGCUUUUUGUUCUGCUUAAGUGCUGUAUUUCUCAGCAGUCUUCAAGUUUCUCAGCAUGAAGAUAUUGUUACCUCAGAACUACUGUGGGUUUAACACAAUUCUCAAUUUGCAGGCAAAUGGAUGUAUUGUGUUGGGGCUUAUCCACAGAGGACUGUGAAACUACAAAUUACAAUCCAGCUGCAUUUUCUUAUCUGGAUUUUUUCCCCAUGUGCCCAUGAGUCCUCCCCUCUACACAAGUAGAAGGUGCAAAGAGAAACUUGAGUGAGAAAGCAGAGACACAAGCCCAAAGGGACCCUGAUGGCACAGAAGAUCCUGUCUGUGUCUGUGGGUGCUGUGUUUAGAUGGGAUGGUGUGGCUGGUGCCUCUCUGGGACUGGAUGGAGCUACCAUGUUUUACAUUAGCAGAGGAUGUGAUGUCUCUGGAUUUAUUUUUUUUCCUCUUUUUCUUUUGUGACUGCCUGGAGACUUUGUCUCUGUAACUGUCCCUAAAAAAAAAAAAUAAUCAAGGCAGCCAGAGGUAACAGUCAAUACAUCUGCUGCAAGUUUCUCCACCCAGGAGGAAGGGAAAGAAGAGGGCUACCCUUUCUCUUACUAAUUAUGGCAGUGAAAUAGGGGAUCCACCCACUCAACUUCCUCAGCUGUUCUCCAUCCUCACCCCCCUCCUUGAAGGGAGUAUGCCAUCAGCAGGUCCCCAGGGGAGAGGCAGCACUCAGCAGGAGUUUGAGACAAAGCUUUCCCACCUCUUGCAGGGCCCCAGCCAGGUCUCAGAGCCUCACCUACCUUGUCACAGCUACAUGGUGGGGGCCAGGUUGGGUACCAGAGCCCCGUGCCUGCCAGGGGACACCUGGCUCAGAUGCAGUGCUGGAGGGAAGGAAGCCUGUCUGGGGCUGCCGACAGCCAGGGCAAGCUCUCAGCCUCGCUCCUUCAAAGCGAAGGGCUGUGUUACCUGAUUCUGGUGACAUUUGGGACACCUGCUAACCAGUAACAGCAAAAACUCAAUGACUUCAUGGUAACACCAGGUUUAUUUGCUGCCUUUAAAUGGCUGUGGAUAUACAGGAUGCUGACAAAUGGGACGUGAACUCCUCAUUUAGUUGGCCGGGAAAUAAACGUAUCAGAGUGGCAGUACUUUUUUGGGCUCUCUUCACCAUCUGAGGGUUGCUGGCCAUUCUGUUUGCUGGCUCAGCUGAGGCAGCAACAAUGUCCAUGUGUUCUGUCAAAGCACUUUACUUGUGACAGGCAAAGUGCUGCCCUGAACUGGAAAACCAUUCAGAGCAAAUAAAUGCAUUAGUUCAAUGCAGAGUAUCUUAUAUUUGAUACACACCACUUCCUAAUCACUUUACUGAACAUCUGGAUUGCCUUGAAAUGAAACCAGUGCUGGCGUCAUUUUCAAUUUGGACAUGGGAUCCAUUUCUGGAGCCUUUUUCCAGGAGAGGGCCUCUUGGAUCUCAGUGUCAUUUAGGUUGGGUCCUACAGGUCUAAUCUAUAGUAAAUAAAAUUAAUGGUUGCUUCAGUAUUAAAGGAGAACAGAAAGUAGUAGGCAGGAGCCAGCUGAGCCCUUUGGUACUCGUAGUCUAAAUCGUAGAAUCGCAUUUAAAAAGUGCAGAUGUUACUGAAGAGAGGGGCGUUUUCAUGCCCCUUUGAAACUGGGUCUUAAGGAACUACCCAAUACAGGUGUUUCCUGGCAGAAUAAAUGCUUAAUAACUAAUUGUGAUUGUUAACGUGGCAUACAAGAGACCGUAAUUAAACUCACUGUGCUGGUAAAAGAUAUGAAAGAACACGCAGCACGUGAAGACACCGGGCUGCUCGGAGUGUGGUGAAAAGGCAGAGCGAAGGGGAUGACAUAACGAAGGAGAGAUGCACUCGUAUCGCUGCGGGUUGGGCUCGGCUGAGCAACAGCAAAAACUGUUUGCAACAUCUUUUUGUCAACAUCUGUUUGUCUUCGAGUUCACGAAAGUGGAACAAAUCUCAUUAAUUUUUUUCUCUUGCCCUGGAAUUUUGCACGAUUGUUUCUGUUAUUUUGGCAGCCAAAACGAUGCUGGAAUGUUUCACCUUUUUCCAAGUUCUUGAGCUGAGCUGUUCGGUUGAGGUUUGUCACAUAAAUCAUGAGGUUUUACUUCUGCUGCUAGCCAAAUCAUAAUCCUUAUAUCGUAAGCCUUUUGUUGUUUAUUGUUUCUUUUUCCUUAAAGCUCCAGCUUCUGGAAUCAUGAGAAUGCAUGAAAAUCUCUACUUCUGCUUUCUGUCAUGUGUUUGUUUUUCCUUGAGUUUCUAGCACCGAGAGCUGUGGAGAAACUUUUGGGUGUCAUCUGAAAUACGAAAAGACAGAAUUCGUUAAAUUUCUUUUUUUUUUUUUUAUACCAGUUAGAUAAUUUUUGGAAACUGUGACUCAUGAUUUUGAGCGCGUCGAUCUGGCACCGCUGCAGCUCCCACGUGACGGGGAGCGCUGGAAGGAGCCGCGCGGGGCUCGGCUCCGCGGACAAGUCGCAGCACAGCGAGCCGGGUGUGAGCCUGCGGUGCCCUAGUUGCUCAGAUUCCCUGCGUGGAUGCCCAGCGCGCAGUGCCUGCCCCUUGGAAGCUGUCUCGGGACGUGCCUCUGUACGAGGAACAGACGGCGUGAGGUUCAGAGCCCCUGUAGCUGACAGCCACGUGUUUGUCAACCAGAGGUAGCUUGAGAGUCUCGUGCUUCAAAGUGAUCUUGUUAGCAAGGGCACGGCUCCGAGCUGCUGCUGCCGUGGGGGCGUUGAGCACCUCCAGGCUGGGAUGUGUUUGGGGAGCUCCGAGAGAUGCUGAACGCAAGGCUGUGUCCCCCCCCUUGGGUGACAAGGGCUGGCUUCUCCUUGUAGCUCCCAUCCCCUUCAUCUCAGCGGCUCACUUGUGCAUCUUCUGAGCCUGUUGGAGGGGACAAGGGUGAGGACCUCUGUUUUUUCUGCUCAGCAGAGGCAGGCGUGCUCUGCAGUACCCCGGGGCCAUGUGUGGGAAGGCGGUGACACCCGUGUGACCUCUGGGGGACUUCCUGAAGCCUGGGUGACUGCACUUACCAUGGAAACUCUCCUGCGGGCUCCCCACCUCCAGCAGCUGGCCGCCACGGGGGCGGUGUGGCUCGGCCACUAACAGGAUGACCUGGAGGAACAGCCACCACCGAACGUGAGCCCUCAGAAGUGUUGCAGAGACAGGACCUGAGUGAAGGAAGCCCUUUAGGGCGUGAGUACACAUAGACGUUUGGGAGAGGUGCCUGCCACGAGGGAAGCCAGGGCAAACUAUGUUGUUUACCGCACCAGAGCAGCGGAGAGUCCACAUGGCUGAAAGUUGGCAGCCGGGCUGCAGGUGUGGUGAAAGAGCUGUGUUUUCUAAACACAUUAAAUACUUAUUGCUCUGGCCUUUUGUAGAUAAGGAUCAGCUUUGACUUUAAAAGAAAUUAUAGCAAAAGUGCUUGUAUAUGGGAGGAUGAAUGCCUGCUUCCAGGUUGGGCUUUGUAGAAUAGAACUUCAUAAACAAAAUAUUUGAUGCGAUUAACCAAGUCAGAGGGCUGGUGGAAAUGUGCCUCAGACUCUCACAGUAUCGGGGUGGAAGCUGUAAUGUGUCUGCCAGAGAAUUACCCUGAGCAGGAAUAAACAGCCAGAAGGUUCUUGGGUGUGAGGAUUCCCAUUUAAAUAAUUCCUUCUCUCUGAAAAACCCACAGCAGAAACAAUAACCUCCUGAAAGUCAGAAAUUUUGGUGAGAUUCAAAACACUGCCUUUGCUCUGCAGACGUUUGAUGUGCAAAGAUGGCAGAGAGCACUUGUGUACCACCGAGAGCCAAAGAGUUUGUAGCAAAACAUCUGGUCCUAGGCUGAGCAGAUAAAGAAAGCUUUCGGUAGCUCUGAUAAUGCCUCUGCCUCUAUGGCUGUGCUAACUUCACCGGGAAAAACGGUCCCUCUGCUGACCUCGCUCAGUUUUACGGAGUUUGGAGGUCGGAAUACAGCGAUAGCAGCCUGCUCAUCCCUAUGGUAAAUGUGACUUAAAAACAAACUUAAAAAUAAAACCAAAAAAGAAGAGGGCUGAUGAUAUAGGCCAAAAAAAAUAUAUAUAUAUAUUGAAUGGAAAGCGUUUAUGUCUGAAAUGGAGUGGCUAGCAAAGCAAGCUGACCUUCUUGGAGCCUGCCCCAAGAGAUGAUGGGAUCUCCUUGCGCCAUUCGUCCCCUCUUUGUUAGCUGAAUUCACUCUAU